Long non-coding RNA from Brassica napus (rape), 2374 nucleotides. RefSeq lists it as uncharacterized. NCBI's taxonomy places the organism in Eukaryota, Viridiplantae, Streptophyta, Magnoliopsida, Brassicales, Brassicaceae. The record is from RefSeq and is a predicted model, not a curated record. The transcript has 2 exons.
ACUAAAUUUAUAUUACAAACAAUCAUAUAUAAAAAAAAUAAUAUCGAGAAACGUAAAGAAUAGAAUACUAUAUCUAAUAGUAUAGUAACCUUACAUAAAUAACUGCAAUAAAAAAUACAUACUAUACUAUAAUUCUGUCGAAUAUAGUAUAGUCUGCAACUUUAUCUUCUUCACCUCAUCCUUUUUUUCCAGACAUAAUGAUACACAUUUACUGGUCCACCAUUGUUAUUCUUCAUCACCAUAUAAAUUCUAAAAGCAUGACACAUCCAUAUAUUCACCGGUCAAACGUCAAACAUUAAUUGAGGUCCCAUUCCAUCGUUUUCACACGACCAUCGUUCUUAGAAUCUGAGGAGCAUCUUUUCCGUCACCGAUCAAGCUUUCGUAAACGGUCUUCUUCAUAACACAACGUCGCCAAUGAAGCUAUCGAUGACAUCUCAGUCUCCUUCAAUGAAACUAUCCACCUUCCCCAAUUUUAGUAAAUAAAAACUUACGAGAGAGUGAUGUGUGAAAAGUAUAAAGCCACGAUUUAUUGUCUUACAUUAACCAUUUAUUAGUUAAUAUAAUUCUUGUUGCAGGUUGCACAGAUUAUGAAGAAGGGCAUAAUCGCAUUAUUAUAUAAAAUACAUUGUUUAUGUGUGGAACUUAGGUCAAUUUGUUAGAUAUUGAAUUAUAAUAUUUUUUUGUGAUAUAGAGUGCAAUUUCUCUUAGAUAUUUAUUUAAUAAAUAAUUUAUUUAUUGUUCUCUCUCCUCACCGUUUUUCUCUCUAGUCAAACUUUCAGAUCUGAGAGCGUGCUGCUCCGGCCACCGGCGAACGUUAGCGUCAGCGCGCCGGAGGCGUCCCCCUCCUUUCAUCUCGCCUUUCCUUUGCUUCGUCUCUCCUUCUGUCGCAGGCCUCGCUGGGUUAGUUUGUUGUUGUGGUGCUUCAAUCGCCGUCGCCUUUAGGUCUGAGAGGUAACUGGAGUCGUCAUCGUGGAUCCGUUUCUGUAGUAAUAUCGAGGUGAGCUCAGUGGUGGGUGGAGCAGAGUUGGAUUUUAGGGUUUAGCCGUUCAGAUCCCCUUCCGUUUUCAGAUCUGAGCGUGUGUUGGUGCAAGCGGUGGCGAUAGAGGCUUUGUGUCGGGUCUCAGCCUGGUUUGAGUUCCGGAGAGUUGUUGAUGCGGCUUGCAUCUUCUCCGGUUAGAUGAGCUCUGGAGGUUCUUUUACUCAGGAGCGCGUGCAGGGGAAUGGCUUCGCUGUGUGGCGGUGCCUCUUUUCUGGUUAUGGCGUGUGGUGUUUCGAGUUGCCGUUCUGGUUCAAGCUACUUCGGCCAUUCUCUUCUCCUUCUGUCUCUCCCGCGACAAUUUGUUCAUAGACCGCCUUCGUGGAAGUGGCGUCCUUCCGCUUGGUGUUUGCUCGUGGGUUUCAUUGUUUAUUUUGUUCUCAUUGUCACCGAGACCAUCUCUACAUUAUUAUGUGGUGGUCCGUCUCUUGGUUCUCAGGAGCGGUUUUAGGAGUGGUGCCUUGUUAAGCCGUGUUGCCUCCGGUUUCUUGGUGCCUUGGUGACUCCUACUGUAUUGACAGCUAAUCUUAGUGUUUCCUCUGGUGCUUAUCAGUGGAGGCAGAGUUUGUUUUCUAACCAUCUUGUGCAGGUUCUCGAGCUUCGGUGGACAAUGGUCAGCGACUUUCACAAAUCCGUCUUGGUAAGUCUCGAGCUUCAUUGAUAGCUUGGGAUGCGGCGGUGAUGAGAAAGUGGAUAUUUCGGUCUUCCGCCCCGAUUAACCAGAUCAGCCAGCGACACAAAUGUCGGGUCCGGGGUUAUGACAAGCGAUUCGGCUGUGUAUCCUUCUUUUGUGUUGGGUCCGGAGAAGCGAGGAACAAAAAAGAGUGACAGGAACGAUCAAAUGCAAACAUAACCAUAUUAGAUAGAUACAACUGGGCAUGAAUGAGGACACAGAUUUAUUACGGGAUUUUUACCCGGUUGACCAGGACGGAGAAACCGGCAAUAUCCGUUUAAUCAGCAAUAGUUUCUAACGGAGUUGUCCCACAAACUACCGGCAACAAACUCCUCUAAAGCCUUUCCUAAAACCCUAAGAUACACCAUCGUUUUCCGUUUCCCGGUAAACACAAAAAACGGCGUUCACUAUGAACUUCUUGCCGUACUUUGAGAUGUUUUUUGGUCAAUGUAUCCCGGCGAGAAGAAGUAGAAAUUCAGAGGUCGGGACCAUUACAGCUGGACUCCAUUGUUAUUGGUUGACACGUGUAAUUGGUGUUAUACUAGUUUGGUGCCUUCACGUAUAGUUUAUUUUCUUCCAACCCUUUUGCUGGAUAUCAUCCAUGAAUAUCAAAUGAGUGUAUAUAUAUAAUCAACAUUUUUUUGGGUGUGAACACCUUAUGUUUU